RNAcentral lists this ribosomal RNA (305 nucleotides) under uncultured Acidobacteriota bacterium. Its description in RNAcentral is "bacterial SSU rRNA". It matches the Rfam family "Bacterial small subunit ribosomal RNA", at positions 20 to 343 of the family's 1533-position model. The record is from RNAcentral. Lineage: Bacteria; Pseudomonadati; Acidobacteriota.
UGGCUCAGAACGAACGCUGGCGGCGCGCCUAACACAUGCAAGUCGAACGAGAAAGCCGCAAGGCGAGUACAGUGGCGCACGGGUGAGUAACACGUGGAUUAUCUGCCCUCUAGUGGGGAAUACCGUUGGGAAACCGACGACAAUACCGCAUAAGCUCGAGAGAGGAAAGCAGCAAUGCGCUGGAGGAGGAGUCCGCGGUCGAUUAGUUAGUUGGUAGGGUAAGAGCCUACCAAGACUGUGAUCGAUAGCCGGCCUGAGAGGGCACACGGCCACACUGGCACUGAAACACGGACCAGACUCCUACG